CCCUGCAUUCUCUUUUCGUGGAGUCAUAGAAUUGGAAACCUUAACUUCUGUCCCCUUUGCGAGCACCUGCUUUGCUCCCAAAGAUCUCUCUAGCAGAAGCCUUCAACUGGCUGAAAUCAUUUUGGAAUGUCUUGAAUGCUCGUUUGACAAUGUCCUUAUCCUUCAUUUUUUCCAUAAUAAAUGAUUUUCGAGUAGUUGUCAUAGGAGCUGAUGCAAGAGCUGCUGGAUCAGAAUUUGGAGAAUCCAAACUAAGAGACAAGUGCAAAGAUUUAGGAGCCACUUUCUUGCUUUCUCCUAUGGAAGGAUUUUUACUCUUUGCUAAGCAUGAACCAGUUAUUUUCUUUGUUGAAGGCCGUGAUGUGGACAAUGUGCUAGAAGUUGGCAUUGUCUUUGGGACCUUUGAGGUGGAAAUCUGGGGUGAUUUAGAUACAGGUGAUGCUGGUUUUUUCUUUAUCCUUGUCACAUCUCUAAUCUUACUCAUUGCAGAAGUCUUUUGAUACUCCUUCCAAUGAUCUAACUUCACAUUUUCCUCUUUAAUUACAGGAAUCCUUUGUGUCUCUUUGUCCAACUUCUCUGGCGAGUCCUUUAUUUCCUGAGACGCUGCGUACAAUGUCUCAUCUUCUUUAACUAAAGCAACUUCUUCUGGCUUGUCUAGUGUGGUACCAUCUAGUCUGAUACCCAGUUCUUCCACUCUUUCAAUCAAUGAGCCUUGACCUUCCACAUUGAUUGCAGC
RNAcentral lists this unclassified non-coding RNA (733 nucleotides) under Hevea brasiliensis (rubber tree). Lineage: Eukaryota; Viridiplantae; Streptophyta; Magnoliopsida; Malpighiales; Euphorbiaceae. The record is from RNAcentral.